RNA transcript from Harpia harpyja (harpy eagle), 3165 nucleotides. RefSeq lists it as uncharacterized. The transcript is spliced from 12 exons. The record is from RefSeq and is a predicted model, not a curated record. NCBI's taxonomy places the organism in Eukaryota, Metazoa, Chordata, Aves, Accipitriformes, Accipitridae.
GCGGCCGAGGCGGGGAGCGGCGGGGCCGCGGACGCCUUCCGCCGGGCGGAGCCGAGCCGAGCGGCGGCGGCGGGGUCUCGCUCCCGGUGGCGGUCCCGCCUGGCCCUCGGCGGGCAGGUGCGGUGGGGCCCGGGGCUGCUGCGGCCCGGCGGGAGAGGAGAGCGGAGCGGAGCGGAGCGCUGCCGGCGCCGGCUCGCAGCCGCCUGAGGGAAGAGGCGCGGCGGAGCCCGGCGCUCCCCGCGUCCCCGCCGCAGACACAGCUCGGCCACCGCCUGACCCGCUGCCCCGGGCCCCGCGGCGGCCGCCGAACACCUGAGGCCUCCGCCAGCAGCGGCCGGGGCUGGGGAGGUGGGUGCAGCCUACCAUCCAGCCAGCAGCCCAGGGAUGCCUGUGGACCCACAUGAGCCAGCACCAAUAAGGACCCUUUCAUGCCAUGGUGGACUCCAGAGAUGUAGGAACCCCUGUCUUGGAGGCUACAGAAACACGGUCUCAAAAGCUGAAUUGCUCUAAAUCCACAUGCCAAAGUGGAACCUGUUUUUCCUGACUCUGUGCCCUGCACUCAGCUAUCAGUCUUGCCUGCAAUGCUGUAAAGCAGAUAUUGCUGUGGAAGAGCCUGGCUGAUGAGACACACAGUUCCUACUCACCUCCUUGAGCAUCAAGUGGUGUCAGCUGGGAUGACUGGAGAAGCCCAUCUCUUCCCCUCGUCCUCUAAGAUCAGACUUUUCUGGAGGAACUGCCAUCGCCUUGCUGGGAGGCCGAAGCGGUGAGGUGCAGACCCCCGGGCGCCUUGCCAGGGAUUUGUUAGAUGGAAGCCUAGGCAAUGAAGAAAGUAAGGAAAUCUCACCGGGAGCAACACCCACGUGCAGGUACCAAACGCCUGCAUGCACCUGAAUUCAAUUGAUGCAAAGAAGCUGAAUUUAAAAUGCACUACAGAACAAAACAGGGCCAGCUGGAGGAUUUCCUGUCAGAGAAAGGAGAAGCCUGGGGAAGCAGCAGGCAGAAACACCGAGCUGUGACACAUUCCUCCUGGCUGACUGUGAACCUUUCUGCAGUAAGAUUUGAAACAGCCAGAUUCCAGCUUAGAUCAAAGUCCUUAGGAUUCACUUGUGACUUCCAGUAAGGCUUCUUUAAGGUCUGCUGUUUUCUGGUUGGAGUAUUUUUUAUAGUCUGCAUUAUAAGAAAACCCACACAUGAAGAAAGGAAGAAAGAAGUAAAUGGAAAACAAACUUCAGGCAUGGCCAUUAAUUCUUCUGGGGAAAGGACAGCCUGCCUUCUUCAAGCGUCCAGACCUGCUGCAGAAUAUGCAAGAAUUUCAUAUUUACUCAAAUUAGAUCUCCAUGUGCAUGUUAUGAAAUAUUUCAUUCCAAACACAAGUACAAGAUAAAUGCUGUUGGAGUGGAUGUUGACUUGCAUCAAGAAAUCAAAGCAGGCGUGAAGGGAAGAAAGUACGCUCUUUUAGGGGUUCCAACAUUGAGGGGACCUUCUCCAAACAAGAACCUCCUCCAAAGGAAGAAGGCAGUUGCAGUAAGGAUGCCCUGAGGGGCACUGACAGCUCUGAGCUCCCCCUGUGACCCGACGCUGCUCUGGGGUGCUGCUCUGCUGCGCACCACUCCAUUAGGAAGCAGGAACAUACCCACGAGCUUUUUACCCAGCCUCACCAGAGGAAGGAGACUGAUUUAAAGAAAAUCCAGAAUAAGAUAUUGUUUCAACUGGAAAAGAAUCAUCAAACUGUAACAACCCAUACUGAGGCAGACUGUUCCACCCAAGCUCAGCCCCAGCUGGGAGCACACAGCCCUUCUGCAAGGUCAGCUCAGACAAGUGGCAUUUCACCACUGUUCACUCAUGCUGAAGGUGGUGCAACAAAACUGACUUUCCUGUGUGCCUCCCCUGCUUUAUCCAAUCCUGGAACAUCCCCUGUGCACCAGUAGCAGGGAGCUCGCUCUGGCACAUUCUUGGUGGAAGCUCUCUCUGCACAUUAGAAUUAAUAUAAUUAAUUAUAUUAAUUAAUAGGAUUAGUCAGGGAUCAUAAUCUUCUUACAUAGUAUAAGUGAUUGCUACCAAGGAGUCUACACCUAAAUGCCCCUACCCUAAAUGCCAUUGAAGGUAUCCUUUGAGCACACCAGGAACCUCAGCACCCUUCUCUCAAUUACCUAUGCUGUAGACAGCUAGCGUUAGACAAGCUACAGUCAAGUAAAUUCUACCUUUCAAGUCCAGUUUAUGCUGCCUGAGCACCCAGUUUUAUAGGAGAAAAUGAGGAUAUAUGAUUAGAGGUUAAUACUGACUUCUCACUGUCCUAGACAGUGAUAGCAAUUAUUUUGUAUGGACAGCUUGUUCCUUCCAUGUGUUUCUCAGAGAUAGAUCCUCUUCAGAAAACUACUCCCUGCCCAAACAGAACAAAGGGCUAUGUCAUCUUCUUCAGGAGCAACCCCUGUUCAACUAGGAUGCCACAGAUUUGCCUCUGGAGCCAACCUGAGCUGCAGUAGAGCAUGGAGAAGGCUGGUUUCAGGUCAGAAAACAGAACAAGCGUGAGCUCAUCCCCAUGCCAGUUUCUCCACAUUACAAAGUCACCGCAAGACGUGACGAUGCAUUGUUCCUGCUCCGGGAGGAUGGGAAUGAGGGCUUGUCUGCACCGCUUGGAAGAGCAAACUGGAAGGAACAAACACGCACAAGCAAUCUCAAGGAAACUCUGUUAUGACUAAAAAGAGGACUUCAGCAGCAGCAGAAAAAAGCCCACAAUGUGUGCUCUUUCACCAUGUAGUUCCUUCCACAGGUCUACCCCUCCCUUCCCUCACUGUCCUCCUGAAGAACCGUGAGUCCAACCAAGUGUUAAGGCCUGCAGUGACAUUGCUAUGACAGAUUUUUGCAGUUCUUGACCCUUGGAGGAACAUGUAGCCAACACAGCCAUGAUACAAGGCAUUUCUCUGGCUCACAGACCUAUGAGGAGCCACAGACUCCAGUUUGUUCUGCGUGACGUUACCACCACCACCGUUGCUCCUGCCACCACCACAGCCACUAGAGACAGAGCAAUGCCUGGCAUUAUUUUUCUGAUUUGUACCUAGGGACAUAGGAAAUGGAAAAAACCUGGCUGACUGCAGUGGCACAAAGUAAGGCCCUGGGUUGAGGUGUGCUGAGAAAAGGCUAUUGCUGUCUACCGACAAGAGUGAG